This is a long non-coding RNA of Ictalurus punctatus (channel catfish), 1007 nucleotides long. NCBI's taxonomy places the organism in Eukaryota, Metazoa, Chordata, Actinopteri, Siluriformes, Ictaluridae. The record is from Ensembl.
CGCAGAUUUGUCAUGUGACAUCAUCACAACACGCAUUCAGUCAAAGCCCCUUCGUUUCACGUGCGUUGAACAUGAGUACAGCAUAAAGGUCUCAUGUACCAACAAACAUCACUGCAAAAGACCACGCAAAACAUUUUCAUGCAAUUGCCAUUUCGCCAAUUCAAGUAGUUUUCCGUAAAAUAACAAAAAAAAACUCUGCAAAUUGUAUCGCAGUUUUUUUUAAAGUCACAGCAAAAUCAAGUAAUUUUAGUCGCAACAAUUACAAAUAAAAACUCCACAAAAUCCUGUCUGACCACUUGCUUUCAGCCACAUGAAAGUAAAAACCUCCCAUUCGAGCAUGUCUUUUAAGUUUUUUGUUGUCUGUGGGAUCCCAGCCCUUAUACACCUGUAGUCUGAACUACAGUCCUUGUGAACUAUAAUAUACACUUUACUUCUAUGAAAUCCCUGUAUUGUAUUUAGUAUUGUAUCAAUAUUACACUGCCCAUUCCUGCCCAAUACACUGUUUAUCUUUUACUGUUUGCAUUUUACUAGUGUCUCCAUGGUACUGUGUGCACUGUAUUGUUCUGUGUUUCUUGCUGUGAGUAAGCCUUUCGUUAUGCUAUAUCAUCAUGGCAUCCUGACAACAAUAAACAAUAAAGAUUUUGUAACUGCUGUGAUGUGGAAAAGGAAUGAGACGUCAUGCUAAGUAAAGACUAAAACAUAUAGGAUGCACUGUUAUAGGAAAAUAAUCAGUGACAGGAUGAUGUAAAGGGCAACUUAGUGAUGCAGAGUGUCGCACUGCAGCCUUGCAACUCCGAGGUCCUAAGAUUACAUUACUGACUGUGUGGUGUUACUGUGCAUGCUUUCCUGCUGUCUGUGUGGGUUUUCUCCUGGUUCUCUGGUUUCCUCCGACCUCCCAGAAACAUGUUGGAUAGGUUCUGAGUCCACUGUGAUCCUGAACAGGAUUAAACGCUGGAUGAAUGAAAAAAGGGUGGUGUGAAUAUAUAUUUUUAUAUCUAUCCAUCCAU